GAGCCCAGACCCAGGAUUCCCAGGUGUCCCCAUUGGGUGACAAGAGAGAACACAGGCAUCUCACCAUGGAGUUUGUGCUUGGCUGGGUUUUCCUUGCUGCUGUUUUAAAAGGUGUCCAGUGUGACGUGCAGCUGGUGGAGUCUGGGGGAGGCCUGGUGAAGCCUGGAGGGUCCCUGACACUCUCCUGUGCAGCCUCCGGAUUCACCUUCAGUAGCUACGGCAUGAGCUGGGUCCGCCAGGCUCCAGGGAAGGGGCUGGAGUGGGUCUCCGGUAUUAGUAGUAGUGGAAGCACAUACUAUGCAGACUCCGUGAAGGGCCGAUUCACCAUCUCCAGAGACAACGCCAAGAACACAGUGGCUCUGCAGAUGAACAACCUGAAAGCCGAGGACACGGCCACGUAUUUCUGUGCGAAGGACACAGUGAAGGUCCAUCAGUGUGAGCCCAGACACAAACCUCCCUGUAGAAGGGGAUCAGCACCACCAGGGGGCGCACACUAUGCACAGUUCUGGUUUAUAUUCCCAGGAGCAGCAACGCCUGCGGAGGCGGUCCUGGCGCCGGUGAGGCUGAGGCUGCGCGAGCAACAGCGGCCUGCUGAGGCGGCGGCGGAGGCGGCGACCCACAGAAGCAGUACCAGCGCCCGGUAUAGUGGCAGCGGCGUGCAACAGUCGCCCUCUGAAGCAGCGGCGGCGCGCUGCAACGACUCGGACUCUAUGGACCUGAAGUUGCUACGGAUGCCUCAAGUAACAAGCCAAACUAACAUGGUGGAGAGUCCCAAAUACGACUACCAGUAG
This is a non-coding RNA of Hyaena hyaena (striped hyena), 791 nucleotides long. NCBI's taxonomy places the organism in Eukaryota, Metazoa, Chordata, Mammalia, Carnivora, Hyaenidae. The record is from the annotation of a RefSeq genome assembly.